CCCUCCUCUGGCCCAGGCUAUCCUGCGUCCCUGGCUGAUCACGGUCUGCUCGGGGAGCCUUCUGUUCCAGGCCAAAGCACAAGUGUUGGGCUGAGCAGCCUGGGGCAACAGCAGAUCUGCUCUGUGGCCUGUGGUGCUCCCACAAAGAAGUUCAUUGGUUUGCAUUGUCCGAGAGCCUCCCUCGAGACUGGACCUGGAGCGAAAUUGCCCGAGGAGCCCGCUGAGUGUGUUAGGUGAUACACUCGUGGUGAUAAAGGUCAAGUUGUCCAGUCUCCUGCCUGCAGAAUGGAGAGACAGUAUAAGGAGGAGGUUAAGAAGAGCAUGGACUCUGGGGCCAGACCGUUUGGAUUCACAUUUUGGCUCCAUCACUGACUGUGUGACCCCACGUGGGACCGCCGGCCCCAGGAUGCCCCGGGGGUGUGGAUGACCAGAGGCCCAGGCCCGGAUGCCGCCGCCCCGCGAGGGCCGCUCCCCGAGGGCCGC
Leptonychotes weddellii (Weddell seal) is the source of this 483-nucleotide non-coding RNA. Lineage: Eukaryota; Metazoa; Chordata; Mammalia; Carnivora; Phocidae. The record is from RefSeq and is a predicted model, not a curated record.